Molecule: long non-coding RNA, 475 nt
Organism: Triticum dicoccoides
Lineage: Eukaryota; Viridiplantae; Streptophyta; Magnoliopsida; Poales; Poaceae
Exons: 4
Source: RefSeq, a predicted model, not a curated record
CUCUCCGACCUGCACGAUGGGAAGGUCUACUGGAGGCGACCCAGCUGCACGAGGGUUGCUCAGGUGAUUGCCGGAUCAGAUCAAGAUAAGCAGCGGCCUCUUCUCACAGAAGGUAGUAGCAGAAGCAGAGAGAAGGAAGAGAAUAGCUCCUAAGGAAGAUUCGAGUCUACGGGAACUUUAUCAGUUUGUUGAGUACCACUCAACUAAGAAGCAGAAAAAGAUAUCAUCACCAAAAGUAUUUGCACCUAAGGCGGUAGCCCAAAAUGAGCAAAUGAUUAAAGCAUAAUGACUUGAAGAGCGUGCUACUCAAGUUCACACAAAUGUAGAUAUUACACAACAGGUAAUAUGGGAAAUGUAAUAAGUAAGCUAAUAAAAAGUUCAGAGACUUGUGCAUAGCUUUUAAUAGGACAAAUUAUUUUUCUAUCAAGCUUUGCCCAGAAGAAGGAACUUCAAUGGCAAUAGAAAAUCAGGCUAC